Molecule: ribosomal RNA, 849 nt
Filed under: Triticum aestivum (bread wheat)
Lineage: Eukaryota; Viridiplantae; Streptophyta; Magnoliopsida; Poales; Poaceae
Description: partial small subunit ribosomal RNA
Source: RNAcentral
AUGGUGUUCUCUUCACGGACUAACAGGUGGGAGAGUCGAGAGUUUGUGCCCGGAAUCUGUUGCACUUCUCAGCACCUCUACGACAUGUUGCCAGUAUAUGAAAACUACAACCAAAUAUGGAAGUCAGCUAUGUAUUGGCGAGGGUCUCUCUAUGUGCAUUGCGGUAACCAUAUUCUUAUGAUCUUAAGAAACUCACAGGUUACCUAUGAUAUACCCUGUGACGAGGAUGAGCAAAGAGGCAUCCUUCCUACUAGGUCGGUCUUAGCGAGUUAUGAGAAAGGGAUCCACUACAUGGCGCUCGACAUGUUCCAACUCCAGGUGUGGAAACUGACAGAACUUGUUGACGGGCGGUUAGGGUGGACACGUACACACGAGGCCAACCUCAGUCUUUUCGGUCACCAAAUAAAGUGCUCAUCACAAGUUAUAAAAUCAAUGGCGCGAUGGGAGUUGGUCGAAAGCAAUGAAGCAAAAGUCAACCUCUUUGAACCCCUAAGUGGCCAGAGUAAAGAGGAAGACGAAGAUGAAGAAGAGAAAACCAAAAGUGGGUCCGGCUACAUGUGGGACUCCGAUGAGGAUAACUUCAUUGACCUGGACGAAGGUGUCGCCGACCGACCCGAGCCGUUGGAGUACCGGUGGUACCGCGGGAUCAUUGGAAUGCAUCCGUACAAGGACGUGCUCCUCCUCCACAUGAACGGCAGGGCGAUGGCAUACCAUCUCAGCACCUCGAGGAUGCAACACCUGGGCAAGGGGCUUGUCAAGGAAGUCGGAUGGCGAAACGGCGUCAAGCGCGCAUUCCCUUACCGCCCGUGCUACGUGGACGCGCUUCCGUUGGGGAAGAUGUCGCAAUGA